This 405-nucleotide ribosomal RNA is filed under the name uncultured bacterium. RNAcentral describes it as "bacterial SSU rRNA". It matches the Rfam family "Bacterial small subunit ribosomal RNA", at positions 356 to 773 of the family's 1533-position model. The record is from RNAcentral.
GGGGAAUAUUGCACAAUGGGCGCAAGCCUGAUGCAGCAACGCCGCGUGAGGGAUGACGGCCUUCGGGUUGUAAACCUCUUUCAGCACAGACGAAGCGCAAAUGACGGUAUGUGCAGAAGAAGGACCGGCCAACUACGUGCCAACAGCCGCGAUAAUACGUAGGGUCCGAGCGUUGUCCGGAAUUACUGGGCGUAAAGAGCUCGUAGGUGGUUUGUCGCGUUGUCCGUGAAAACUCACAGCUCAACUGUGGGCGUGCGGGCGAUACGGGCAGACUGGAGUACUGCAGGAGAGACUGGAAUUCCUGGUGUAGCGGUGGAAUGCGCAGAUAUCAGGAGGAACACCGGUGGCGAAGGCGGGUCUCUGGGCAGUAGCUGACGCUGAGGAGCGAAAGCGUGAGGAGCGAAC